GGUAAGUGAUCUAUUCAUUCCAGAUUUGUUAGAUGCUUUCUUUUAGUGAUUUAAAAGGAAUGAAUUAAAACAUUUCAUAGAAAUAUCAUCUAUGGUUAAGAGGCUUGGUGGCCAGGGCUUAUAGUCGAUAGUAACUAUUGGAUGCUAGCUAUAGUGAUGGAAUUGGUGGUGACUUUUGUAUUUUUCAUCCUGAAAAUUCAGCAUUGUCGCAACCAUUUUGUUGUCAUCAAUAUGAUGGCUAUUGCUUCUGUAGUUGCUAAUGCUGCCCUUUGCAGUUGUAAGUCACCUGUACCACUGCAUGGAAGGCAGUGUUCUUUAGUUUACUUCAGAAAAAGGCAUUGAAGAAAUCAAAAUUAGUUCAUGAAUCGCUGAUUUUGUUAAAAUAGUAAGCUGUUGAGGCUUAGACUGUUCAAGUUGGUCUUAGGUUCAAUUAGCUUUCAUUUAAUUUUACCCUUUUUCUGACCAUGAUUUGGCUGAUAGUUUGUACUUCUGUAGGCAAUUUUAAUUUCUUAUUUGGUAUGCUUCAGUGAAUUAAUUAUACAUGCAUGAUUUCUGUACUCAGAAUUAACAUUCUUUCUUUAAGGCAUUUGGUCUUCAGCCCUUCUUGUUGUACCUUUUUUGUGCGGAUAAAUACUCCUGGUGAAUAUAUUAUCAUCUUGUGCUAAUUGAUUCUAGGGCUGGAAUUAAGACUCAUGUGCAAGAUUGGUAUGUUUUGGAUUUUUGGUUGUCAAUGUCAUCCUAGUUCACCAUUAAAAUUUUACAACCAUACCAAGCCAGUUGGGCAAAUUUUCUGUGUGCUUCUCCCUCUUGAUAGCUUUAGCUACCCUGAUUUAGACUACUGGUUUACUAACUUCUGGUUUUUUCUUGUUUGAAAAUGACACAGGAAAACCUUGCCAGUGGAGGAAAUAUUAACCAUUGAUAUCAAGCCUGGCUGGAAAAAGGGAACAAAAAUCACUUUCCCUGAGAAAGGCAAUGAGCAACCAAAUGUUAUCCCUGCAGAUCUCGUCUUUGUCAUUGAUGAGAAACCACACGGCACAUUUACAAGGGAAGGCAAUGAUCUGAUUGUAACCAAGAAGAUACCUCUUGCAGAAGCUUUAACAGGCUAUACUGUCCAUCUUACAACUCUAGAUGGUAGGAGCCUGACCAUCCUAAUCAACAGCGUGAUUCAACCGGACUAUGAAGAAGUUGUUCCAAACGAAGGCAUGCCUAUACCAAAGGAUCCCUCAAAGAGGGGAAACUUGAGAAUCAAGUUCAAUAUAAAAUUCCCAACAAGGUUAACUGCUGAGCAGAAGUCAGGAAUCAAGAAAUUAUUGGCCCCAUAGAUUUGGGAGUUCAGUAAUGCUCGGUCUCUUUGUGAAUACCUUUCUUUAAUUGUUUUUGGAGAUGGCUGUUGUUCUGUGUUGCUAGUUUUUGUACCAGAGAAUUGAACAUUAAACAUCUAGUUGAAUAAAAUAAUAGCAAAGUUCUGAGAUAUGCAUACGAUAGCAAGAUGCCACUGUAUUUAAACUAUACAAAGUUAUGGGCAUGGAAGCGCACUGGUUUUUAUGUUUGCUUAUGGGUAGGUGGGCAACGAUGGGCGUCUAGACACUGUAAAGACGAUAACUACCUUGGUGGAGCUGUGCAGGUGCUGCCUCAGUAAAAGGGAAAAAGGAACAACCCCUAUACAAGAGAGUAUACUCUAUUUUCGGAAACUAUUAGGUGCUUAUUCAUGUAAGAAGCAUAUAUUCCGUAUGUAUUGUUAUUUAUCUACAAUAGAGGAGAAUUAUUUUGUUCUAA
RNAcentral lists this unclassified non-coding RNA (1776 nucleotides) under Hevea brasiliensis (rubber tree). Lineage: Eukaryota; Viridiplantae; Streptophyta; Magnoliopsida; Malpighiales; Euphorbiaceae. The record is from RNAcentral.